UCGGGGGCGGCCUGAUCGUCG
RNAcentral lists this unclassified non-coding RNA (21 nucleotides) under Chlamydomonas reinhardtii. RNAcentral describes it as "small RNA Cre_2715". The record is from RNAcentral. Lineage: Eukaryota; Viridiplantae; Chlorophyta; Chlorophyceae; Chlamydomonadales; Chlamydomonadaceae.